AUACGUAGGUGACAAGCGUUAUCCGGAUUUACUGGGUGUAAAGGGCGUGUAGGCGGUUUAGCAAGUCAGAAGUGAAAUUCCCGGGCUUAACUUGGGCGCUGCUUCUGAAACUGCUUUACUUGAGUGCUGGAGAGGAUAGUGGAAUUCCUAGUGUAGCGGUAAAAUGCGCAGAUAUUAGGAGGGACACCGGUGGCGAAGGCGGCUAUCUGGACAGUAACUGACGCUGAGGCGCGAAAGCACGGGGAGCAAACAGGAUUAGAUACCCUGGUAGUCCACGCUGGAAACGAUGAAUACUAGGUGUGGGGGUACUGACCCCCUCCGUGCCGCAGUUAACACAAUAAGUAUUCCACCUGGGGAGUACGAUCGCAAGAUUGAAACUCAAAUGAAUUGGCGGGG
This 396-nucleotide ribosomal RNA is filed under the name uncultured bacterium. Its description in RNAcentral is "partial 16S ribosomal RNA". It matches the Rfam family "Bacterial small subunit ribosomal RNA", at positions 523 to 918 of the family's 1533-position model. The record is from RNAcentral.